RNAcentral lists this ribosomal RNA (497 nucleotides) under uncultured bacterium. RNAcentral's name for it is "partial 16S ribosomal RNA". It matches the Rfam family "Bacterial small subunit ribosomal RNA", at positions 28 to 507 of the family's 1533-position model. The record is from RNAcentral.
GAUGAACGCUGGCGGCGUGCCUAAUACAUGCAAGUCGAGCGAACAGACGAGGAGCUUGCUCCUCUGACGUUAGCGGCGGACGGGUGAGUAACACGUGGAUAACCUACCUAUAAGACUGGGAUAACUUCGGGAAACCGGAGCUAAUACCGGAUAAUAUAUUGAACCGCAUGGUUCAAUAGUGAAAGACGGUUUUGCUGUCACUUCUAGAUGGAUCCGCGCCGCAUUAGCUGGUUGGUAAGGUAACGGCUUACCAAGGCAACGAUGCGUAGCCGACCUGAGAGGGUGAUCGGCCACACUGGAACUGAGACACGGUCCAGACUCCUACGGGAGGCAGCAGUAGGGAAUCUUCCGCAAUGGGCGAAAGCCUGACGGAGCAACGCCGCGUGAAUGAUGAAGGUCUUCGGAUCGUAAAACUCUGUUAUUAGGGAAGAACAAAUGUGUAAGUAACUAUGCACGUCUUGACGGUACCUAAUCAGAAAGCCACGGCUAACUACGUG